RNAcentral lists this unclassified non-coding RNA (402 nucleotides) under soil metagenome. RNAcentral describes it as "partial contains 5.8S ribosomal RNA, internal transcribed spacer 2, and large subunit ribosomal RNA". The stretch from base 1 to 121 matches the Rfam family "5.8S ribosomal RNA", at positions 35 to 154 of the family's 154-position model. The record is from RNAcentral.
GAUGAAGCACGUAGCGAAAUGCGAUAAGUAAUGUGAAUUGCAGAAUUCAGUGAAUCAUCGAAUCUUUGAACGCACCUUGCACCCUUUGGCUAUUCCGAAGGGUAUGCCUGUUUGAGUAUCAUGAACACCUCAACUCUCAUGGUUUGCCAUGAUGAGCUUGGACUUUGGGGGUCUUGCUGGCCUGUGGUCAGCUCCUCUCAAAUGGAUUAGCUUGCCAGUGUUUGGUGGCAUCACAGGUGUGAUAACUAUCUACGCUUGUGGUUUUCCACCAGGUAACCUUCAGCAAUGGGGGUUCGCUGGGGCUCAUAAAUGUCUCUCCUCAGUGAGGACAGCUCUUUGAACGUUUGAUCUCAAAUCAGGUAGGACUACCCGCUGAACUUAAGCAUAUCAAUAAGCGGAGGA